GCACAGAAAUUCUAAUUCUAUUGAUCAUUCCCAAAGGCACAGAUACUCUGAUUUUAUUGAUCAUUCCAAAAUGAUCAGACAUUCUGUUUUUAUAGAAGAUAUUCUGGUUUUAUAGAACAGAUAUUCUGAUUUUACUGAGAUUCCCAAAGGCACAGAGAUCCUUGUUUUAUUGAGAUUCCCAAAGGCAC
Molecule: long non-coding RNA, 188 nt
Filed under: Zonotrichia albicollis (white-throated sparrow)
Lineage: Eukaryota; Metazoa; Chordata; Aves; Passeriformes; Passerellidae
Description: lncRNA (ENSZALG00000008728.1)
Source: RNAcentral